AAGGUCCCCAUGUGUAGUUAUCCCAGUGAGGAGGGACGUUCGAAUUUUUUAUAAGCUUAAAUUUAAACCUUAUGUGAUAGACAUUUAUUUCUGAAAUAAUAAGGCCAACAAUCUAAUUAAAAAAAAAAAAGAAUAUAUAUGAUAUUUAAGUAUUUAUACGAUCAAAUAAUUUGAUCAUACUAUAUAUAGUAGGAAAAUUAUUCACCAUUACAUAUUCAACCACCAAAAGGUGGAAGAUAAUGGAUCAUGGACACUUAUAUUUUGCAGCAACAGUACUGGUACAGUGGUGCAACACAUUCUCCUCCUUUGGGGUAAAAUUUCAAGCAGUAAUUGUUGCAAUCCCCAGGAAUGUCCUCGCACUUCCCUUGGCAUAUGUAGGUUGCUUUCCCUACAAUAAUAAAAAUAUCAUAAACAAAUAAAAAAUAAAAUCAAGAGAGAGGAUCAUCAUGUCAACCUUUCUCAUAGAAAAAGAAAUAUUUGGUAUAUUCAUAUGCAUUUCUUUUAUUAAUAUAAUAUCAUCAACAGCUAAGAAAUUUUUACAUACUGAUUAUAUAAAGAGAGAUACACAGAAAGAUGGAUUAGUCUAAAUUUUUUCAUUCACUAUUGAAACUAUAAUAAAUUUUUUAGCCGGUGUGUUAAGCUUGGAUCCUUUAUAUCAAAACAAAAUCUUAGUAAUCAGUAAUUGUUCUUGAAUCAAAGGGUUUAUCUUUGUCUAUUUUUAUUUGAGUCGAAUUCAUAACUGUUUGAAUUGUGUAAUCUCCAAUUAUUGAGAUUGGUAAUCGACCCAAAGCAAUUUGAUUAUAAUUCAAUUCGUGACGAUCAUAAGUAGAAAGUUCAUAUUCUUCGGUCAUUGAUAAACAAUUUGUUGAACAAUAAUCGACACAGUUACCACAAAAUACAUUAGUCGGUAUCAUCUCAACUACUGUUAAAAUCAGUAAAAAUAUUUUGGGCAUCAACUAUAUAUUCACGCGUAUUUACUUUUGGAAAAAAUUGUUGUAGUUUUUGCUGAGCAGAAAAUUUCUACUUACUGGCCAGAAUGCGCACACGAGAGAGAGAGAGAGAGAGAGAGAGAGAGAGAGAGAGAGAGAGAGAGAGAGAGGAAUUACCACCAUGAGCAAAGAGAAGAACAAGAAAUGUAAGAACCAUGAAGAGCUUGCUCCAAAUGGUGAGGAAAGUGAGGGACAUCUUGUGUUGUCACUUUGCUCUACU
This 1209-nucleotide long non-coding RNA is filed under the name Ananas comosus (pineapple). Its description in RNAcentral is "long non-coding RNA (ACOM_LNC028585)". The record is from RNAcentral. Lineage: Eukaryota; Viridiplantae; Streptophyta; Magnoliopsida; Poales; Bromeliaceae.